Long non-coding RNA from Halichondria panicea, 2322 nucleotides. RefSeq lists it as uncharacterized. Lineage: Eukaryota; Metazoa; Porifera; Demospongiae; Suberitida; Halichondriidae. The record is from RefSeq and is a predicted model, not a curated record. The transcript has 3 exons.
UUGUAGAUUUGAAGACACAAUCACACACAAGAUGGAGACGGCUGGGGAGGAAAAGCGUUCACUUGUCCUUCCCUCUAGGAGCUUCAACAAGGCUGGAUAUCGGGUGGAUACUCCUCCAAAAGACCAGCAGCAAUGGAUCACGAGGCAAAGAGCAGCGAAGCGAGUACAAUGAUGGAGAGAACGAGAGGGGCGGAGUCAGUGACCAGUUGCUAUGACAACAUAUGAUGGAAGAGUUACAAGGUGACACUGUAGAGUUUGCGUACGACCCAUUGGACGUCUUGCACUGCAGAUAAAGGAACACAAUUAAGAAAUAAUUCUUGAGGGUCAGUUGUUCCCUCUGUUGGAUGCUGAUGAUGAUCCAGCCAUUGGACGUCAGAGAAAAAUACAAUCGACCUAAGAAACAGUGAGUACUGCCGCGUGCAGAGUGUGACUCUUUCCCUGACCAAACUUUGAUCUGAGCAUAUUCAUGUGAUAGGCCUUAUCUAACAGUGCUUGGAAUAGUUAUUCGCUGUACUCCCCCCUAGUGUUUACGUUCCCGUGGGUGGGUUCAAUUCACUAGCAAUAGUUUUGCGUUCCCGUGAGUGGGUUCAAUUCACUAGCAAUAGUUUUACGUUCCCGUGGGUGGGUUCAAUUCACUAGCAAUAGUUUUGCGUUCCCGUGGGUGGGUUCAAUUCACCAGCAAUAGUUUUGCGUUCCCGUGAGUGGGUUCAAUUCACUAGCAAUAGUUUUGCGUUCCCGUGAGUGGGUUCAAUUCACUAGCAAUAGUUUUGCGUUCCCGUGAGUGGUCACUAGCAAUAGUUUUGCGUUCCCGUGAGUGGGUUCAAUUAAUUCACUAGCAAUAGUUUUACGUUCCCGUGAGUGGGUUCAUUUCACUAGCAAUAGUUUUGCGUUCCCGUGAGUGGGUUCAAUUCACUGACAAUAGUUUUACGUUCCCGUGAGUGGGUUCAAUUCACUAGCAAUAGUUUUGCGUUCCCGUGGGUGGGUUCAAUUCACUAGCAAUAGUUUUGCGUUCCCGUGGGUGGGUUCAAUUCACUAGCAAUAGUUUUACGUUCCCGUGAGUGGGUUCAAUUCACUAGCAAUAGUUUUACGUUCCGUGAGUGGGUUCAAUUCACUAGCAAUAGUUUUAAGUUCCCGUGAGUGGUCACUAGCAAUAGUUUUGCAUUCCCAUGAGUGGGUUCAAUUCACUAGCAAUAGUUUUGCGUUCCCGUGGGUGGGUUCAAUUCACUAGCAAUAGUUUUACGUUCCCGUGAGUGGGUUCAAUUCACUAGCAAUAGUUUUACGUUCCGUGAGUGGGUUCAAUUCACUAGCAAUAGUUUUAAGUUCCCGUGAGUGGUCACUAGCAAUAGUUUUGCAUUCCCAUGAGUGGGUUCAAUUCACUAGCAAUAGUUUUGCGUUCCCGUGGGUGGGUUCAAUUCACUAGCAAUAGUUUUAAGUUCUCGUGAGUGGUCACUAGAAUAGUUUUGCGUUCCCAUGAGUGGGUUCAAUUCACUAGCAAUAGUUUUGCGUUCCCGUGGGUGGGUUCAAUUCACUAGCAAUAGUUUUAAGUUCUCGUGAGUCGGUCACUAGCAAUAGUUUUGCGUUCCCAUGGGUGGGUUCAAUUCACUAGCAAUAGUUUUAAGUUCCUGUGAGUGGUCACUAGCAAUAGUUUUGCGUUCCCGUGGGUGGGUUCAAUUCACUAGCAAUAGUUUUGCGUUCCCGUGAGUGGGUUCAAUUCACUAGCAAUAGUUUUACGUUCCGUGAGUGGGUUCAAUUCACUAGCAAUAGUUUUACGUUCCCGUGAGUGGGUUCAAUUCACUAGCAAUAGUUUUAAGUUCUCGUGAGUGGUCACUAGCAAUAGUUUUGCGUUCCCGUGGGUGGGUUCAAUUCACUAGCAAUAGUUUUGCUUUCCCGUGGGUGGGUUCAAUUCACUAGCAAUAGUUUUGCGUUCUCGUAAGUGGGUUCAAUUCACUAGCAAUAGUUUUGCAUUCCCUUGAGUGGGUUCAAUUCACUAGCAAUAGUUUUACGUUCCCGUGAGUGGGUUCAAUUCACUAGCAAUAGUUUUAAGUUCCCGUGAGUGGGUUCAAUUCACUAGCAAUAGUUUUGCGUUCCCGUGAGUGGGUUCAAUUCACUAGCAAUAGUUUUGCGUUCCCAUGAGUGGGUUCAAUUCACUAGCAAUAGUUUUGCGUUCCCGUGGGUGGGUUAAAUUCACUAGCAAUAGUUUUAAGUUCUCGUGAGUGGUCACUAGCAAUAGUUUUGCGUUCCCAUGAGUGGGUUCAAUUCACUAGCAAUAGUUUUGCGUUCCCGUGGGUGGGUUCAAUUCACUAGCAAUAGUUUUAAGUUCUC